UUUUCAACUUCCUUAAUCAAAAGUUGCAAGUGGCAAAAUAACUGAGCUAUCAACAACAAGCAACCCACUAACUCAUUUUAAUCCUAUAUAGCGUGGACAAAACUGCAACAAAAAAUCACAUUUAACAUUCAGCAGCUUAUCUGGGUGCUGAAGAAUUACUAAAAUUGAGACCUAGCUCUUCAAAAUUUAUCAAGUUUCCGAGCAUCUUUUUGAGAUUUUUUUAGUACAUUUGCCUUUUAAAUGAAAAGGACAAGAAGAUUUUUUUUUUUUUUUGCCUUUGUCUUAUGGCAUGAUAUCAUGUCAUAAGGUCAUGAUAGUUUUUUUUAGUUGGUAAGUUUAGAUAUGAUCAUACCUCAGAAACUAUCUAGGGUUGCCUUCAUGGCCUACCUCUAAAGGCCGAUGCCUGAGGGAUGGCAGAGAGCCAGGCUCCUCGUGUGGCGAACUGGUGGCACAGCCCUGCAGCCAGACUGUGAAAGCAGCCUGAUGUUUUGUCACAACAUGUCCUAAGUGAAGAUCUCUCAGUCUUAAUUGCAGGCCCUUAACCUUCUGCUCCUGCUCAGCUGGAGACCGCAGGGCUGAGCUCAAUUGGUUUCCCCACUUUCAAAAUAUUUAAAGCGAUUCCCCUGUUUCUCAUACGGAAAUACUUCAGCCUGGGUCUCACGUUGCUGGAGUGCUCCUUAAGAGCUGGCUGACGGCUAGUACUGCAGCAUCUCUUACAUGUGGAUCUUGAGUAUUUUGCAAAAUCGACUGAAGUGCAUUUGCAGAGGCAGUAGAGCAGUAUUCAUCAGGAUCCAAGAGCUGUCCUGCCUUGUACUUCUGCUUUAUUAAUACCAGCACCAUCCACGAAGCUACAGUUAAAGACAUCCGGCUCUGAGAUGGGAGAUGCAGUUGAUUCCAGCAGACAUUAUUUAGCAUUCUGAUUUGACUUGGAUUCCUCGUCUACACAAAACAGCACUAGACCCCUUAUAAGCCAUAUAAAAGCUGGUCAGAUCCAGAAACUUAUACAGUCCUACUUGUAUGUACAGCCCUACUUCUUUCUUAACUUUUUCUCCAAAGCAAAGGGAAGAUGGGAGCAUAGCAAAGCAAAGACAAAUAGAAGUCACUCUGGAGGGUAUUGAUUGACUCGUGUCUGGCCCAGGUAUCAAUUACCACUUCUCUUUCUCAGUGCAAAGAGGAGGGUGAGGAGCGAUGCAGAACCCUCUCAGAGGCACAGUGAUUGCUUGGACUGUGCCAUUAAUGAACAGUUGACUUGAUGCGGGCUGUGCCUAAAGCACACUGAAAGCCUUGCUUUGCUGUCUCUCCAGUGCUCCUCUUGGCUUUGAGAAGACAAAUCUCCUCUUUAAAUUCGAGUGGUUCUUGUAGAAGAACCAAAACAAAUU
This 1379-nucleotide long non-coding RNA is filed under the name Anser brachyrhynchus (Pink-footed goose). RNAcentral's name for it is "lncRNA (ENSABRG00000022091.1)". The record is from RNAcentral. Lineage: Eukaryota; Metazoa; Chordata; Aves; Anseriformes; Anatidae.